UCGUGGAAUGGUCUGUCAGGUUAAUUCCGAUAACGCACGAGACUUCGGCUUUUAUUUAGCACAUGCUUUUCCAAAGCAAUGUUGUUCACUUGUGGUCGCAAGCUAUAGGUGGACUCGCUUCUGAAAGGGACUGCAAACGUUACAGUUUGAGGAGGGACGAAGCUAUAACA
This 170-nucleotide ribosomal RNA is filed under the name uncultured eukaryote. RNAcentral describes it as "partial 18S ribosomal RNA". It matches the Rfam family "Eukaryotic small subunit ribosomal RNA", at positions 1299 to 1458 of the family's 1831-position model. The record is from RNAcentral.